UACGAAGGGAGCUAGCGUUGUUCGGAAUCACUGGGCGUAAAGCGCACGUAGGCGGAUGUGUCAGUCAGGGGUGAAAUCCCGGAGCUCAACUUCGGAACUGCCUUUGAUACAGCACGUCUUGAGUCCGAUAGAGGUGGGUGGAAUUCCUAGUGUAGAGGUGAAAUUCGUAGAUAUUAGGAAGAACACCGGUGGCGAAGGCGGAUCUCUGGGCCUGUCCUGACGCUCAGGCGCGAAAGCUAGGGGAGCGAACGGG
RNAcentral lists this ribosomal RNA (253 nucleotides) under uncultured bacterium. Its description in RNAcentral is "partial 16S ribosomal RNA". It matches the Rfam family "Bacterial small subunit ribosomal RNA", at positions 524 to 776 of the family's 1533-position model. The record is from RNAcentral.